Molecule: ribosomal RNA, 233 nt
Filed under: uncultured bacterium
Lineage: Bacteria
Description: partial 16S ribosomal RNA
Rfam family: Bacterial small subunit ribosomal RNA
Source: RNAcentral
CGGGACGGGUGAGUAAUGUCUGGGAAACUGCCUGAUGGAGGGGGAUAACUACUGGAAACGGUAGCUAAUACCGUAUAACGUCGCAAGACCAAAGAGGGGGACCUUAGGGCCUCUUGCCAUCGGAUGUGCCCAGAUGGGAUUAGCUAGUAGGUGGGGUAAUGGCUCACCUAGGCGACGAUCCCUAGCUGGUCUGAGAGGAUGACCAGCCACACUGGAACUGAGACACGGUCCAG